UACGUAGGGGGCAAGCGUUGUCCGGAAUCAUUGGGCGUAAAGAGCGUGUAGGCGGCUCGGUAAGUCCGCUCUGAAAGCCCGGGGCUCAACCCCGGGAGGCGGGCGGAUACUGUCGGGCUAGAGUCCGGAAGAGGCGAGUGGAAUUCCUGGUGUAGCGGUGAAAUGCGCAGAUAUCAGGAGGAACACCAAUGGCGAAGGCAGGUCUCUGGGCAUUAACUGACGCUGAGGAGCGAAAGCAUGGGGAGCGAACAGG
RNAcentral lists this ribosomal RNA (253 nucleotides) under uncultured bacterium. RNAcentral describes it as "partial 16S ribosomal RNA". It matches the Rfam family "Bacterial small subunit ribosomal RNA", at positions 524 to 776 of the family's 1533-position model. The record is from RNAcentral.